CCUACGGGAGGCUGCAGUGAGGAAUAUUGGUCAAUGGGCGCGAGCCUGAACCAGCCAAGUAGCGUGCAGGAUGACUGCCCUACGGGUUGUAAACUUCUUUUAUAUGGGAAUAAAAUGUUCCACGUGUGGGAUUUUGUAUGUACCAUAUGAAUAAGGAUCGGCUAACUCCGUGCCAGCAGCCGCGGUAAUACGGAGGAUCCGAGCGUUAUCCGGAUUUAUUGGGUUUAAAGGGAGCGUAGGUGGAUUGUUAAGUCAGUUGUGAAAGUUUGCGGCUCAACCGUAAAAUUGCAGUUGAAACUGGCAGUCUUGAGUACAGUAGAGGUGGGCGGAAUUCGUGGUGUAGCGGUGAAAUGCUUAUAUAUCACGAAGAACUCCGAUUGCGAAGGCAGCUCACUGGACUGCAACUGACACUGAGGCUCGAAAGUGUGGGUAUCAAACAGGAUUAGAUACCCGAGUAGUC
This 460-nucleotide ribosomal RNA is filed under the name uncultured bacterium. RNAcentral describes it as "partial 16S ribosomal RNA". It matches the Rfam family "Bacterial small subunit ribosomal RNA", at positions 338 to 795 of the family's 1533-position model. The record is from RNAcentral.